This 451-nucleotide ribosomal RNA is filed under the name uncultured bacterium. RNAcentral's name for it is "bacterial SSU rRNA". It matches the Rfam family "Bacterial small subunit ribosomal RNA", at positions 29 to 524 of the family's 1533-position model. The record is from RNAcentral.
AGCGAACGCUGGCGGCAGGCCUAACACAUGCAAGUCGAGCGGGCACCGCAAGGUGUCAGCGGCAGACGGGAGAGUAACACGUGGGAACGUGCCCUUUGGUUCGGAACAACUCCGGGAAACUGGAGCUAAUACCGGAUAAGCCCUUACGGGGAAAGAUUUAUCGCCAAAGGAGCGGCCCGCGUCCGAUUAGCUAGUUGGUGAGGUAAUGGCUCACCAAGGCGACGAUCGGUAGCUGGUCAAGAGGAUGAUCAGCCUCACUGGGACUGAGACACGGCCCAGACUCCUACGGGAGGCAGCAGUGGGGAAUAUUGGACAAUGGGCGCAAGCCUGAUCCAGCCAUGCCGCGUGGAUGAUGAAGGCCUUAGGGUUGUAAAGUCCUUUUAACGGGGAAGAUAAUGACGGUACCCGUAGAAUAAGCCCCGGCUAACUUCGUGCCAGCAGCCGCCGUAAG